UUCGUAGGCGGUGUGGCAAGUCGGGAGUGAAAUCUCUGGGCUCAACCCAGAGACUGCUUCCGAAACUGCUGUGCUUGAGUGUGAGAGAGGCUCGUGGAAUUGCAGGUGUAGCGGUGGAAUGCGUAGAUAUCUGCAGGAACACCCGUGGCGAAAGCGGCGAGCUGGAUCACUACUGACGCUGAGGAACGAAAGCUAGGGGAGCAAACA
RNAcentral lists this ribosomal RNA (207 nucleotides) under uncultured bacterium. RNAcentral describes it as "partial 16S ribosomal RNA". It matches the Rfam family "Bacterial small subunit ribosomal RNA", at positions 568 to 774 of the family's 1533-position model. The record is from RNAcentral.